Molecule: ribosomal RNA, 82 nt
Filed under: uncultured bacterium
Lineage: Bacteria
Description: partial 16S ribosomal RNA
Source: RNAcentral
UCAUGAAAGCCGGUUGUACCCGAAGUCCAUGUUGCUAACCGCAAGGAAGCAGUGGCCGAAGGUAUGGCUGGUGAUUGGGAUG